This is a long non-coding RNA of Lynx canadensis (Canada lynx), 6508 nucleotides long. RefSeq lists it as uncharacterized. NCBI's taxonomy places the organism in Eukaryota, Metazoa, Chordata, Mammalia, Carnivora, Felidae. The record is from RefSeq and is a predicted model, not a curated record. The transcript is spliced from 2 exons.
CCUCGGAGCGUGCCCUCCGCGGAGGCGGCUGGAGGGUCCGGGGGCCUGUGUGGGACCUCGGAACUUUUUCGGUGCGUCAGACUAAAAAAGUGAGCGUUUUGCUCUACGUUUUGCUGCGUGAGGGGCCUUGGCUGAUCGCCGGGCGCCUGCGUUGGACUGCGGCGACCCCGCGGACCGGCCCUUCCCGCCCGAGCCUCCGUCCGGGCCUCCCGCGGCCGGGCGUCACCCCCACACCGAGCCCGAGAGGGUGUCCUCCCAACGGCGACCGCGGGCCUGCACCGUUUCAUUUGGAGGUUCCACCGAGAUUCUAUGACCACCCGAAAUUCGGAGGCUGAAGUGGAACAGCUAGGGGAGAGCUCCCGAGACACGUUCCUCGGCCCCGGCCUUCCGUUCUCAGACCUGGCUUAAGCAAGGUACGCGAGGCGGCGCCUAUUUUCUGUUUUCUGUUCUCUGUUUUCUGUUACUGGCCAGAUCUGAUUCUCGGAGGGAAGGCUGGACGAAGCUUAACUUUCCCCUAGCUGGUUCUGGUGGAGACAUCCCCAGCCCCAUCUGGGUCUCCGGACCGUCUGGGUUGGGCUUGAUCACCCCAACCAUUCGUUCUAUGUUCAGUGCUCUGUGUGCCCUGUUAAACGUUUCCUGUUAGCCUAUCUUUAUCUCUGGUGUGACCCACUGUUUAACCUCCGUCAUGGGUCAGUCUUCGUCCGAGACUUGCUCUCCCCUUAAAUGCAUGCUAAAUAACUUCGCUGGUUUCAAAAAAAGAGGAAAGAACUAUGGCUCUAACCUAAAGCCGUCCUGGCUGCGGACAUGUUGCCCACUGGACUGGCCGAUGCUCUCUGGGGUUGACUGGCCCCCAGAGGGCUCCUAGAAUCUUAACCUUGCUUAUGCCGCCCACAGGAUUUGUCAUGAUGUUCAUCCCGACCAGGAGCCAUAUGCUGUGACGUGGGUCGACCUCCUAAACGACCCACCUUCCUGGCCGAGAAAGUGCCAGAAACAGGGCCAAAAGCUGUCAUCUGGCAUCUCCCUUUCCCACUCCCCUUCCUGUUCUCCUCCAAACUCCGAACCCUUGCUUCCCGUCACUCAGCCUUCAAAGAGGCUUUACCCAGUGCUUCAGGAGAUACCCGAAGGGAGGGACUUGUUAUCCGAUUCUCAGAGACCACCUCCUUAUCCCCAGACCCCACUAGCUCCCCAGGAACCCAAAGCCGCAGGAGAGCCUUUGACUAGUCCCCCACAUACCAGAUCAGGAGCCCUCUGCAGAGGAGAACACCAGUCCUCCGAUGCCCCGGUUCCCAUCCUUCCUCUCAGGCAAACGGCUCCGGCUCCCGGUCCAGACAGGCGGCCAACACGCCCGAUGGUUGUCUACACUCCACCUCGGACCUCUACAACUGGAAAACUCAGAACCCGCCUUUCUCUGAAAACCCCCAGGGCCUAAUUGACUUAUUUCCCUCUAUUUUCCCCACUCACUGACCUACUUGGGAAGAUUGUCACCAACUCUUGCAGGUCUUACUGACUUCAAGGAAAGGGCCCGAGUGCCCCGGGAAGCCACGAGAGCAGUCCUUGGCCCGGAUGGAAUGCCUACCACAGACCUUCACAGAACUGAGCACGUUUUCCCUUCCGCGCCGCCCCAGUGGGACCCUAACACGGAUAACGGUAGGGAGCGUCUACUCCAGCAUCGCCAGAUUCUGUUACAGGAGCUUCACGCAGCGGCACGAAAGCCCACCGAUCUGACAAAGAUUCAGGACACGGUCCAAGGGCCGAAUGAGUCGCCUGCAGCCUUCCUAGAAAGGCUUUAUCGGGCGUACCGCUUAUAUUCCCUAUUGACCCCGAGGCAACAGAGAACCGUAAAACCAUUAAUAUGGCUUUCGUUUCUCAGUCGGCCCCAGACAUCCGUAAAAAGCUCCAAAAAUUAGAAGGAUCCGAAGGAAAGGUAAUUUCAAAGUUGGUGGAAAUAGCCCAGCCAGUUUUUCAGAGCAGGGACAGCCCUGCCAUUAUGCAAGGGAAGGAAAUAGGGAAAGCCCUAGAAGCAGCCUGGGGAAAAAACCCGCAGGCAACAGCAAAGGACAGGGAAGGCCUCAACCCCGCCAGAAAGGACCCCGAGCAAAGCUGGGAAAAAAUCAAUGUGCUUAUUGUAAGGAAGAAGGACAUUGGAAAGAUAAACGCCCCAACAAAAAGCCUCCCAUCCUGGUCGCCCAGGAACAAUGACGCCACCACAGCUCCCCUCUUUCCCUGAGUCCCCAGGAGUCUGUGGUCACCCUCAACGUAGAAGGGAAAGAAGCCAGAUUCCUGGUUGACACUGGGGCUUAAAGAACCCUUAGGACCUGUGAUUAAAGGAAAGGUAUACAUUCCGGGAGCCACAGACGAACGCAAGGCUACCCGCGGACUCGUGCCCGAAUCACUGACCUAGCUCAAGGGACUGUUACUCAUUCCUUUGUGCUCAUACCGGAUUGCCCAUGUUCCCUUCUGGGGAGAGAUCUGUUGCACAAGCUUAAGGCCCAAAUCUCCUUUACCGGAAAUUCCAUACACUUGAACCUAUAGCCACCUGCCAUUCUAGUUACUUGCCCUAUAUCAGAGGAAUAUCUACUCCUAGAAAAACCAGAGCGGAAAGCCUCUCCAUUAAUAGAAAAAUGGAAAGAGACAAUUCCUACAGCUCGGGCUGAAACUAACCCCCCCGGACUAGCCAUUCAACAAGCGCCGCUGGUGAUCCAGCUGGCUGCCCCAGCCACCCCCGUCCGGGUGGGGCAAUAUCCAUCCCGUCAGCCAGCAAGCGAGGGGGGGAAUUGCCAAACACAUCAACCGCUUGCGAGAAGCUGGGAUCCUAACGCCAUGCCAUGCCCCCUGGAAUACUCCCUUGCUUCCUGUCCCAAAACCUGGGACUUCAGAGUAUAGGCCGGCACAAGACCUCAGAGAAGUUAACAAAAGGGUGGAGACAAUUCAUCCUACGGUCCCCAACCCCUAUACUCUCCUGAGUGAACUCUCACCAAAUUACCUCCUUUACUCCGUCCUGGGCUUAAAGGAUGCAUUCUUUGCUUUGCCGAUUGCGAAGGUCAGUCAGCCUAUUUUUGCCUUUGAAUGGACAGACCCAGAUGGAACCUACAACGGACAGUUAACCUGGACUCAACUGCCCCAAGGGUUUAGAAACUCCCCUACUCUAUUUGAUGAGGCUCUUCGAAGGGAUUUGGCGCCCUACCGGGAGAGCCACCCAGAUGUUAGGCUGUUACAAUAUGUAGACAACUUGCUCCUAGCCACUGACUCCUUAGCUGCACAAAGGCUACGGAGGACCUGCUGAGGGAAUUAGAUGUCCUGGGAUAUAAAGUUUCCGCAAAGAAGGCGCAAAUUCGCUUGGACUCUGUCGUAUACUUGGGCCACCAACUGCGUGAAGGCAAGCGAUCGCUGGCGCGGGAAAGAAUCCAAGCUAUCCUCAACAUUGCCAAACCCACAACUAAAAGGCAGAUCGGGGAGUUCCUAGGGGCCGCUGGGUACUGCCGCCUCCGGUUACCUGGUUUCGCUGAGAUGGCAAAACCCCUGUACUCCGCCACCGGGGGUGAAGGAACUGAGAUGGUCCGGAGAGAACAAGAUAGGGCUUUUGAGCAAAUCAAGAGUGCCCUCACCCAAGCCCCAGCCCUGGCUUCACCUGCUAUUACCAAACCCUUCCAACUAUUUGUGCAUGAGAUCCGGGGUCCUUACUCAAGCUCUGGGCCCCUGGAAACGACCUGUCGCCUACUUGUCCAAGCGGCUGGACUCUGUUGCCACCGGGUGGCCCGGUUGCCUCAGAGCGGUUUACCGCCACUGCCAUGCUGGUUGAAGAAGCUUCCAAACUAACGCUUGGGCAAGACCUUCAGAUCACAGGACCUCACGCAGUAGCAUCCCUGCUGCGCUCCCCACCAGACCGAUGGAUCGACGCACGAAUCCUCCAGGAUCAGGUGUCGCCACUAGACCCUCCACGCAUCACUUUCCUGAAGACAGAGGCUUUAAAUCCAGCCGCGUUGCUGCCGGAUGGCGACUCGAUUGCUUGGAAACCGGGAGUACUCUGACGGGACUGAGGGGGGACUUAAGAGAGCGACCUCUGCCAAAGGUGGACUUCGAGCUGUUCUCUGAUGGCAGCCGUUUUGUCAAAGAUGGACUCAGACACGCAGGUGCAGCUGUAGUGACUCAGGACCAGGUUAUCGGGGCCCAAGCCCUUGACACUUCUGCCCAAAGAGCAGAGCUGAUGGCUCGAGCCCAGGCCCUCGGAUGGGCAAAGGGAAAAACGGCGAACGUUUUCACUGAUAGGAGGUAUGCCUGUGCCACCACCCAUGUUCCUGGAGCUCCAUAUAAGGAAAGAGGACCGUUCACUUCAGGAGGGAAGGAAAUUAAAAAUACAGAAAUCCUGGCCCUACUGGAAGCCUCAUGGCUUCCUAAAAAGGUGGCCAUUAUACAUCGCAAGAGCCACCAAAAGGCAGACUCGCCCCAAGCAAAAGGAAACGCCGUUGCUGAUGCAACGGCCAAGGCCACAUGUUCUCCCGAUUAAAAUUUUGCCUCUGCUGCCUCCACGCUUUCUCCCCAUGGAACCAUUUUAUAGCAAAGAAGAGCUACCCCUGAUAAAAACCUCGAGGGCAAAAAGAGAUGACCAGCAUUGGUAUCACCUCGAGGAUGGACGCAUCUUCAUACCAGAAGCUAUAGGACGGACCUCGCUCCCGCAAGCCCACAGCCCCACACAUCUAGGGGCAACCAAGUUGUCUGAACUAGCCCAAAGAGACUACGUUAUUCCAAACCUUAAUAAAAUCGUAAAAAGCCUAGUCGACCGAUGCAAAGCCUGUGCUCAGACUCCCCCAUCUCCCAAGUUUAACUUUUCGGGACGGCGACUACGCGGACAGAUGCCUGGAGAAAUUGUGGGAAUUUGACUUCACUGAGACGAGACAUGGGCCCUACGGCUAUCAUUAUCUCCUCGUUCUAGUGGACACCUUCUCUGGAUGGGUGGAGGCUUUCCCCACGAGAACAGAGUCAGCUCAGAUAGUGGCUAAGAAAUUACUCAGUGAAUUGGUUCCCCGAUUUGGCAUCCCUACUGGUCUGGGGUCAGAUAAUGGCCCGGCUUUCAUAGCCCAGAUAUCUAAAAUAUUGGCCAAAAGCUUACAAAUAAAUUGGAAAUUACAUUGUGCCUACCACCCCCAAAGUUCAGGGCAGGUAGAAAGAAUGCAUAGAACUCUAAAAGAAACCUUGACUGAAUUAAUUCCAGAAACUGGCGAAAACUGGGUAGGCGUCCUUCCUCUUGCCCUCCUCAGAGUACGCUGUAUACCUUACGUAAGAGGCAUCCCCCCCUUUGAAAUCCUAUUUGGAAGACCACCUCCCUUGCUUCCAAAAUUAGGAGAUGAACAAUGGGCGGAAAUCUCAAACCAACACCUAGAUUUCAUUCCCCGGUCUCGAUUUACGAGGGAACCCAUUUCUCCUAUCCUAGUGCCCCUCUUUGUAGGACUGGGGGGUCGCAGGAUCCAUUGGCGUAAGUACCGCCGCGUUCGUCACAGGGGAUCAGAACUUCAAAUUACUAAGCAAACAAAUUGAUCAGGGUAUAUCAGAAUUAGAAAGGAAUAUGGAUAAACUGUCUGAAUCUGUAAACUCUUUAGCUGAGGUGGUACGUCAGAAUCGGAGGGGCCUAGGCCUGUUGUUUUUACAACAAGGAGGGCUUUGUAUGGCCCCUGGGGAACAGUGCUGUUUUUAUGUCAAUAAUUCAGGAAUCAUCAAGCAGAGCCUGAGUCAGAUCAGACCACGACUAGAGGAAAGAGAAGGGCAAAGACGAAUUCAUCAAAAUUGGUAUGAGUCUAUAUUCCUUGCUAUAACUAUAGGACCCUGUUUGAUAAGACUACUACUUCAGUUCGUAAAUUGAAAAAUAGGAUCUAUAAAGCUUAUGGUGUCACGUAGCCAAUACGUCCCAUUAGCCCAAAUGCCAAAAUAAGGUUAUUCAAAGGUUUGAACAACUAACAAACAGGAGUGGGGAAUGUAAGAGGUCAACUUGUAAGAUAGCAGAAAGCUUAUUGUAUAUCAGUUCGGCUUAAACUCACCUUUCACGAAUAAUUGAGAUAAAAGCUUAUGUAGUUCCCUAAUACGGAAAUUGACCGCCCUAUCUCGCUUCUGUAACUUUGCCUGCUUGGGAAAUAGAUACCUUAGGCUGCAAAACGCUCCCCCACCCCUUUUACCAAGAUCUGGCCUAGGCAACACCAACAUGUAAAAAGUCACCAACUCACCGCCCCACGGUAUCUUAGGUGUCUAACUACGAUUGGUCAUUUUAAACCCUCUUAGGACAAAGAACUUUAAAUUGAUAGGUUCCCACCAAAACUAAGGUCUGUGUGUCACAAUAGAAUUGGCUACCAUGAAAUGCUGUAAAUGGCAAUUGGGUAACUAAAUAAUGACCUAUUCUGACUUGCUAAAAUCCAUAGAAGCUCACUGCUACCUUUGUUCGGGGCCAUUCUCUACACUUUUCUCCUUAAGAUCAGGAGAUCAGGUUUGGCCUGGCCGUGAAUAAAAUCUUGCCUUGCUUCUA